CCGGCACGGGUGAGUAACACGUAUCCAACCUGCCGUCUACUCUUGGCCAGCCUUCUGAAGGAAGAUUAAUCCAGGAUGGCAUCAUGAGUUCACAUGUCCGCAUGAUUAAAGGUAUUUUCCGGUAGACGAUGGGAAUGCGUUCCAUUAGAUAGUAGGCGGGGUAACGGCCCACCUAGUCAACGAUGGAUAGGGGUUCUGAGAGGAAGGUCCCCCACAUUGGAACUGAGACACGGUCCAA
This 238-nucleotide ribosomal RNA is filed under the name uncultured bacterium. RNAcentral's name for it is "partial 16S ribosomal RNA". It matches the Rfam family "Bacterial small subunit ribosomal RNA", at positions 100 to 334 of the family's 1533-position model. The record is from RNAcentral.